AAAAAGGGUUUCUGUCGUGAGUGGCGCACGUAGGGCAGCUUGGUGGCUCCACGUGUGGGAUCGACAUCAGGAGAUUUCGGGAGCAUAACUUGGUGUCUGGGCAGCUGGUGGUCAUGGGGCCUGGCACCUGG
Artibeus jamaicensis (Jamaican fruit-eating bat) is the source of this 131-nucleotide small nuclear RNA. RefSeq annotates it as U11 spliceosomal RNA. The record is from RefSeq and is a predicted model, not a curated record. Lineage: Eukaryota; Metazoa; Chordata; Mammalia; Chiroptera; Phyllostomidae. The transcript has a single exon.